UGCGUAGGCGGGUCUUUAAGUCAGGGGUGAAAUCCUGGAGCUCAACUCCAGAACUGCCUUUGAUACUGAAGAUCUUGAGUUCGGGAGAGGUGAGUGGAACUGCGAGUGUAGAGGUGAAAUUCGUAGAUAUUCGCAAGAACACCAGUGGCGAAGGCGGCUCACUGGCCCGAUACUGACGCUGAGGCAAAGACUGGGGAGGCAAACA
Molecule: ribosomal RNA, 205 nt
Filed under: uncultured bacterium
Lineage: Bacteria
Description: partial 16S ribosomal RNA
Rfam family: Bacterial small subunit ribosomal RNA
Source: RNAcentral